RNAcentral lists this ribosomal RNA (434 nucleotides) under uncultured bacterium. Its description in RNAcentral is "partial 16S ribosomal RNA". It matches the Rfam family "Bacterial small subunit ribosomal RNA", at positions 29 to 507 of the family's 1533-position model. The record is from RNAcentral.
AGCGAACGCUGGCGGCAGGCCUAACACAUGCAAGUCGAACGAACCUUUCGGGGUUAGUGGCGGACGGGUGAGUAACACGUGGGAACGUGCCUUUAGGUUCGGAAUAACUCAGGGAAACUUGUGCUAAUACCGAAUGUGCCCUUCGGGGGAAAGAUUUAUCGCCUUUAGAGCGGCCCGCGUCUGAUUAGCUAGUUGGUUGAGGUAAUGGCUCACCAAGGCGACGACCAGUAGCUGGUCUGAGAGGAUGAUCAGCCACAUUGGGACUGAGACACGGCCCAAACUCCUACGGGAGGCAGCAGUGGGGAAUCUUGCGCAAUGGGCGAAAGCCUGACGCAGCCAUGCCGCGUGAAUGAUGAAGGUCUUAGGAUUGUAAAAUUCUUUCACCGGGGACGAUAAUGACGGUACCCGGAGAAGAAGCCCCGGCUAACUUCGUG